GUGCCAGCAGCCGCGGUAAUACGGAGGGUGCGAGCGUUAAUCGGAAUUACUGGGCGUAAAGCGCGCGUAGGUGGUUCGUUAAGUUGGAUGUGAAAGCCCCGGGCUCAGCCUGGGAACUGCAUCCAAAACUGGCGAGCUAGAGUACGGUAGAGGGUGGUGGAAUUUCCUGUGUAGCGGUGAAAUGCGUAGAUAUAGGAAGGAACACCAGUGGCGAAGGCGACCACCUGGACUGAUACUGACACUGAGGUGCGAAAGCGUGGGGAGCAAACAGGAUUAGAAACCCGGGUAGUCC
This 292-nucleotide ribosomal RNA is filed under the name uncultured prokaryote. RNAcentral describes it as "partial 16S ribosomal RNA". It matches the Rfam family "Bacterial small subunit ribosomal RNA", at positions 505 to 796 of the family's 1533-position model. The record is from RNAcentral.